CAAUAGCGUAUAUUAAAGUUGUUGCAGUUAAAAAGCUCGUAGUUGGAUUUCUGGUGGGAGCGAUCGGUCUGGCGCUUAGCGCGAGUACUUGCAUCGUCUCCGGCCAUCCUUGGGGAGAGUCUGUCUGGCAUUAAGUUGUCGGGCAGAGGAUCCUCAUCGUUUACUGUGAAAAAAUUAGAGUGUUCAAAGCAGGCUUAUGCCGUUGAAUAUAUUAGCAUGGAAUAAUAAGAUAGGACUUUGGUACUAUUUUGUUGGUUUGCGCACCAAAGUAAUGAUUAAUAGGGACAGUUGGGGGUAUUCGUAUUCCGUUGUCAGAGGUGAAAUUCUUGGAUUUACGGAAGACGAACUACUGCGAAAGCAUUUACCAAGGAUGUUUUCUUUAA
Molecule: ribosomal RNA, 383 nt
Filed under: uncultured eukaryote
Lineage: Eukaryota
Description: partial 18S ribosomal RNA
Rfam family: Eukaryotic small subunit ribosomal RNA
Source: RNAcentral